RNAcentral lists this ribosomal RNA (403 nucleotides) under uncultured bacterium. RNAcentral describes it as "partial 16S ribosomal RNA". It matches the Rfam family "Bacterial small subunit ribosomal RNA", at positions 30 to 526 of the family's 1533-position model. The record is from RNAcentral.
AUUGAACGCUGGCGGCAGGCCUAACACAUGCAAGUCGAGCGAGCGGCGGACGGGUGAGUAAUGUAUGGGGACUGCCCGAUAGAGGGGGAUAACUACUGGAAACGGUGGCUAAUACCGCAUACUAUCGGAUAACCCAUAUGGGAUUAGCUCGUAGGUGGGGUAAAGGCUCACCUAGGCGACGAUCUCUAGCUGGUCUGAGAGGAUGAUCAGCCACACUGGGACUGGGAAACGGCCCAGACUCCGAGGGAGGCAGCAGAGGGUAAGAUUGGACAAUGGGCGAAAGCCGUAUGAAGCAAUGCCGCGUGUAUGAAGAAGGCCUUAGGGUUGUAAAGUACUUUCAGCUGGGAGGCGGUACCCGCAGAAGAAGCACCGGCUAACUCCGUGCCAGCAGCCGCGGUAAUUC